GUACCGUACCAUGUUAUAGCCAUUGAAUUUAAACUAAGAAACCAGUUACUCUUCGAGGUGAUGUGAUGACAAGCCUGCACCAGAAGUCCAGAAAGCAUACCAUGCUCUAUGAGAGCCUUCAUUGAGACUGUGGUACUUCAACGCAAUGUUCAAAGAAUCCAGUAGUCUCUCAAGAGGCUAAACUCAAAACGAAAAUUAGCAAUAAAUAUAUGUCGUAUA
Molecule: unclassified non-coding RNA, 219 nt
Filed under: Melitaea cinxia (Glanville fritillary)
Lineage: Eukaryota; Metazoa; Arthropoda; Insecta; Lepidoptera; Nymphalidae
Description: misc RNA ENSMCXG00005017657.1
Source: RNAcentral